GUCCACGCCCUAAACGAUGUCUACUAGUUGUCGGGUCUUAAUUGACUUGGUAACGCAGCUAACGCGUGAAGUAGACCGCCUGGGGGAGUACGGUCGCAAGAUUAAAAACUCAAAGGAAUUGACGGGGACCCGCACAAGCGGUGGAUGAUGUGGAUUAAUUCGAUGCAACGCGAAAAACCUUACCUACCCUUGACAUGGAUGGAAUCCCUGAGAGAUUGGGGAGUGCCCGAAAGGGACCAUUACACAGGUGCUGCAUGGCUGUCGU
This 265-nucleotide ribosomal RNA is filed under the name uncultured bacterium. RNAcentral describes it as "partial 16S ribosomal RNA". It matches the Rfam family "Bacterial small subunit ribosomal RNA", at positions 793 to 1055 of the family's 1533-position model. The record is from RNAcentral.